AACGCACAUUGCGCCCCUUGGUAUUCCGAAGGGCAUGCCUGUUCGAGCGUCAUUAUCACCCCUCAAAUCUUCGGAUUUGGUGUUGGAUGGGAAGGUUCUACUCUUCCAUCCUAAAGAUAUUGACCGUGUCUAGUUAAACCCUUGGUACAUUGAGCUUCUCGGAGCAUGUAUUAGAGUGGUUGACUUGACCGAUCUUCCCAGUUGGACUUUGGUUCAACUAUUUUUCAAGAUUGACCUCGGAUCAGGUAGGAUUACCCGCUGAACUUAA
This 268-nucleotide unclassified non-coding RNA is filed under the name uncultured fungus. RNAcentral's name for it is "sequence contains ITS2". Lineage: Eukaryota; Fungi. The record is from RNAcentral.